Molecule: ribosomal RNA, 295 nt
Filed under: Chrysotila carterae
Lineage: Eukaryota; Haptophyta; Isochrysidales; Isochrysidaceae
Description: partial Bacterial large subunit ribosomal RNA
Rfam family: Bacterial large subunit ribosomal RNA
Source: RNAcentral
GCCACAGUGGGUAACAGCCCCGUAGCCGAAAAUCGCUUCCCUCCUGAGUGGAUCCUGAGUACGGCGGAACACGUGAAAUUCCGUCGGAAUCCGGGAGGACCAUCUCCCAAGGCUAAAUACUCCCUAGUGACCGAUAGUGAACCAGUACCGUGAGGGAAAGGUGAAAAGUACCCCGGAAGGGGAGUGAAAGAGAACUUGAAACCGUGUGCUUACAAGUAGUCAGAGCCCGUUAAUGGGUGAUGGCGUGCCUUUUGUAGAAUGAACCGGCGAGUUACGAUUGCAUGCAAGGUUAAGG